This is a long non-coding RNA of Phoenix dactylifera (date palm), 886 nucleotides long. RefSeq lists it as uncharacterized. NCBI's taxonomy places the organism in Eukaryota, Viridiplantae, Streptophyta, Magnoliopsida, Arecales, Arecaceae. The record is from RefSeq and is a predicted model, not a curated record.
CACAUGGCAUCCAGGUCCCAGAAGCUUCGCGAGCUCUCUCCUGUCUUCUCCACCGCAAACUCGAACCCCAAAAAUUUAUGGAGACCCGUUCUCUUUUUUGUUCCCCUUGUUAGCGAUUUGGCUCGGCAACCUCGUCAUCUCCUUCAAAGAUAUUAAACCAUCUCAGGUGAGUUUUAAACAGCUCAACCUAAAUGAGGGGAGCCACCACAUUACCUGCAAAAAAUAUUCUCAAUAGAAUCUAUCCAAUGGGAGGGACUUGGAGACUCAUGACAGUUUCAACCCCGAGUAGGCAUGAAAAGAAUGAGCCAAGGGAAGCAGGUAAAAUAACAAACAAUGAUGUUGAACCAGUGGUUGCCUUCAGCAAGCCACCUUUACCACCUGUCUUUGGCCCUUUGGUUGUUCUCUCAUUACUGGAAAUGUCAAGCAGCGAUGGAGAAGAAAGUUAACAAAAGCUUUGAAUGGCAUUUGCAUAGUGAGCUUUAAAAUGGUUUUGCAGUACCCUGAGUGCAUAGCUUAGCCUUCGACUACAUACAUCCAAACAUUGGUGUGGUGUGCCACCAGUGGAAGGAUCAAGGGCUCUACCAACAUCUUAUAGAUCUAAAUAAUAAAAUAACUAGUAUAUCAGGCUUUUGCAGGAAACCUACAACUCAAGUAGUGGGCAUGAGUUAUUAUUACCUGUAAGCUGUGUUUUUGACAGUAUGUCAAUCUGUUGAUAAUGUAAGUGAAGGGACAUACUCUUAGCCAGUGCAGAAAAUUUGUCAAAUAGUGAAAUGAUGAUCUUCAGCAUUUCCUGAAUUUCCAGCAAGCAAACAAAGCUACAUCAGUAUAUUGUAGUCAUAAAAACAAUCAUGCAUUGAACUUGAGAAUUAGCCUUUGCCGGGUUGCA